UAGAGAGAGAGACCAGUUACAGACCAGUAACACCAACCUGACUAUAGAGAAAGACCAGUUACAGACCAGUAACACCAACCUGACUAUACAGAGAGACCAGUUAAAGACCAGUAACAUCAACCUGACUAAAGUGAGAGACCAGUUACAGAAAGAGAGAGACGUAUUUGAGAGGAAGUUUUCUGAACUGGAGAGAUUCAUUAACCAGCAAGGAUGGAGAUACUUCAGUUCCAGUCUUUAUUACAUCUCUACUGAGAAGAAGAGCUGGAGUGAGAGCAGAAAAGACUGCAGAGCGAGAGGAGCAGACCUGCUGAUCAUAAACAGCAGAAAAGAGCAGCACUUUACUGAAAAGCUGAGAGGAGGUCAGACAGCUUGGAUUGGUCUGAGUUACAGAGUCAUAGAGGGAGCUUGGAGAUGGAGAUGGGUUGAUAACUCAGCACUGACCACUAGCUUCUGGAGAUCUGGACAACCAAACAUUUAUGGAUCAUGCGUUGUAACUGGCUCUGGGUCUGAUCCUGUACUGAACUGGAUUUAUAUUUACUGUUCUGAACAGCAUGUGUGGAUCUGUGAGAAGAGACUAUUUAGUUA
Pygocentrus nattereri (red-bellied piranha) is the source of this 585-nucleotide long non-coding RNA. RefSeq lists it as uncharacterized. The record is from RefSeq and is a predicted model, not a curated record. NCBI's taxonomy places the organism in Eukaryota, Metazoa, Chordata, Actinopteri, Characiformes, Serrasalmidae. The transcript is spliced from 4 exons.